This 256-nucleotide ribosomal RNA is filed under the name uncultured bacterium. Its description in RNAcentral is "partial 16S ribosomal RNA". It matches the Rfam family "Bacterial small subunit ribosomal RNA", at positions 524 to 777 of the family's 1533-position model. The record is from RNAcentral.
UACGGGGUAGGCGCGACGUUUGUCCGGAAUUAUUGGGCGUAAAGAGCUCGUAGGCGGCUUGUCACGUCGGGUGUGAAAUCCCUCGGCUUAACCAAGGAAGUGCAUCCGAAACUGCUGAGCUUGAGUACUUAAGAGGAUCGCGGAAUUCCCGGUGUAGAGGUGAAAUUCGUAGAUAUCGGGAGGAACACCAGUGGCGAAGGCGGCGAUCUGGGAAGAUACUGACGCUGAGGUGCGAAAGCGUGGGGAGCAAACAGGG